This 1017-nucleotide ribosomal RNA is filed under the name Triticum aestivum (bread wheat). RNAcentral describes it as "partial small subunit ribosomal RNA". Lineage: Eukaryota; Viridiplantae; Streptophyta; Magnoliopsida; Poales; Poaceae. The record is from RNAcentral.
AUGAUUAUCAACCCAGACUCUAUUUGUGCUAAGAUCUUGAAGGCAAAGUAUUUUCCAAACACUGAUUUGUUGCAUGCAGGCUCGAAAAAUGGUUCCUCUGUUACAUGGCAGAGCAUUGUCGCUGGCUUGACUACCUUUAAAAGAGGGUAUAUUUGGCGAAUAGGCUUGGGGGAGAAUGUGAAUAUUUGGGAAGAUCCGUGGAUCCCCUCAAGUCCUGACAGGAAAGUGUUAACCCCGCGGGGCCAUACAAUUAUAUCAAGAGUUGUUGAGCUUAUUGAUCCAGUUACCACACAGUGGGAUGACCAGUUGAUUUGUGAUAUAUUCUAUCCAGUGGAUGCCAACAGAAUUUUACAAAUACCAAUCAAUUUCCAGGCUUUCGAUGAUUUUAUUGCAUGGCACCUGACUAAGCAUGGAAAAUUUUCAGUUAGAACUGCUUAUGUGGAACAAUGGACACACAAGUACAUGGGUCAUUCUCUUGAAGAGUUGACGUCCAGCAGUGCUAAGUAUUCAUUGAUUUGGAAGCAGCUAUGGAGUUUACAAGUGCCAAGGAAAAUUCAAAUAUUAUGCUGGCGAGCGCUAUGUGGAAUCAUUCCAUUAAAAUCCAUACUCGCUAAUAGACACAUCGCUAUUAGUGGAGAAUGUCCGAUCUGUCAUAGGGGGGCUGAGGAUAUGAGACAUAUGCUCUUCCAGUGUGACAUCGCAAGAAAACUAUGGUCGGGGCUGGGACAGAUGGACCGCAUAAACCAUGCUGUGCUAGUGGACAGAUCGGGAUCUGCAAUCCUUGAAUAUCUUUUUCUGGAACCUGACUCGCCCUUGGAUAUCAUGCCAAGUUUAAAUUUUAAGGAGGUAAUUGCAGCAGGGUGUUGGUACAUCUGGUGGUUAUGGAGACAGCAUACUCAUCACGAUUCAUGUCCCCCUGCGUCCAGGUGGACCGCCUCAAUUCUGGCGAUUGUUGGAAACUAUGUAAAAUCUGUGAACAAGAAGCGGGAUGGUUCAGCACAAAUGGAAGAAACCUGA